GUAAAAGCGGCUUGACGCUGAUAAAACAUGGGGAUAAAAUGAUUUCAUGAUUCAGUGGAGUGUCAUUCAGGCUCUGAACUGAGGAAAUCCUUUUAUGUGAAGGUAUCAAAGGCGUGAGGCAGAAAGAGUGCAUAACACUCAUGCGGAGCAGAAGCUGUCAGCUGUCGGCGAGCACGCAGGUGUCAACAUGAAGCAGAUUGACGGAUGGAAGCGGACGCAAAUGCCGAGUUUGUCAAAUCGGUGAAAACAGACGAGGCCUGCUGCCGAAUCUCCGUGGAGUGUUUCUGGACCUCACUCCAAAUCUAAGCCAGAUUUGUCCCACGUGCAGGCAAACUCACAGUCAGCAGAUUUGGAUAAAGCAAUAUUCUGUGAAUGCAGAGCAGUCACGUCGAUAAAGAGAGGCAGGGGAUGGCUGCAGGAGACCGCAGGGCAUACAGGACCCGACUGGGCCCGACCAGCCCUGAAACCAUCCAGCUGCAUGGGACACCAUUCACACAGGGCACAGAGCGUGAAACACCAUUGCCAAUUAAACCGACACACAAGUCUGUGUUCUUAAAAGACUUAAAACUCUACGUUUAAAACGCGUCGGAAGAGAGAACUAAAAGAACACAUGUUGCUUUUCAUG
Long non-coding RNA from Scophthalmus maximus (turbot), 625 nucleotides. RefSeq lists it as uncharacterized. The record is from RefSeq and is a predicted model, not a curated record. The transcript is spliced from 3 exons. Lineage: Eukaryota; Metazoa; Chordata; Actinopteri; Pleuronectiformes; Scophthalmidae.